CGGGUGAGUAACGCGUGAGGAACCUGCCUCAAAGAGGGGGACAACAGUUGGAAACGACUGCUAAUACCGCAUAAGCCCACGGCUCGGCAUCGAGCAGAGGGAAAAGGAGCAAUCCGCUUUGAGAUGGCCUCGCGUCCGAUUAGCUAGUUGGUGAGGUAACGGCCCACCAAGGCGACGAUCGGUAGCCGGACUGAGAGGUUGACCGGCCACAUUGGGACUGAGAUACGGCCCAG
This 233-nucleotide ribosomal RNA is filed under the name uncultured bacterium. RNAcentral describes it as "partial 16S ribosomal RNA". It matches the Rfam family "Bacterial small subunit ribosomal RNA", at positions 103 to 334 of the family's 1533-position model. The record is from RNAcentral.